GUUCUUUGUUUUUCCUCCUCGAGGUAUUUUUUCUCAGCCCACAUCUGUCGAUCUGGAACAAGCCUGAAGGGAGUUUGACUCUGCCUCAUCCAGCCUCACUGAGUUUUCAGUUCCCAGACUCUGUCCUCAGUGGAACUAUGGGUUCUAGCAGAGAUGGAAGGAAUGAAGGACAACGGUUGUAUUACUGCUAAGAUUGGCCACUUCUUUUAGCACAAUACCCAGGUGCUUUUGGAUCUAUAGAGCCUCUCUUCUCUUUGCCUUAACAAAGAGUCCUAGCAGUCGUCUCUGCUUGGAAUGUGCCCGGGCUCCAGGACGUCAGUGGUCAUGUGCUUCAUGGGACUGGGGGAUGAAUGGAGGACACAGCUUUGCCAACAACAGACAACACUGUUUCCAUAAGUGUGGCCCAAUUCAAUACACAGACACUGGCCCUCUCGGUGCAUGUCUCCAUGACUUCAUUCCCAGGAGCAGGAACUGGGACAGGCAGCUUGAACUGACUUCGUGAAGCCUGACAACUUGAGCACUCGAAAUUGUUUCAAGGAAUGGCGGAGCCCGGAUUGUGGUCUGCGAUGCUCAUGCUUCCUGGACUGUCUGAGCCAGCCCCCCGGAGGAGGCCUUUUCAAAAAGGAGUGGCAAGUAUCAUUUAGUGUUUGCUUAGUAGUUUUUGAUGCUAAACCCAUAAUUUCAACCAUUAUUUUUAACAAGGGCCCCUUUGCCAUCUAGCU
RNAcentral lists this long non-coding RNA (722 nucleotides) under Felis catus (domestic cat). RNAcentral describes it as "lncRNA (ENSFCAG00000052088.1)". Lineage: Eukaryota; Metazoa; Chordata; Mammalia; Carnivora; Felidae. The record is from RNAcentral.